This 252-nucleotide ribosomal RNA is filed under the name uncultured bacterium. RNAcentral describes it as "partial 16S ribosomal RNA". It matches the Rfam family "Bacterial small subunit ribosomal RNA", at positions 524 to 776 of the family's 1533-position model. The record is from RNAcentral.
UACGUAGGUGACCAGCGUUGUCCGGAUUUACUGGGCGUAAAGAGCGCGCAGGCGGUCGUUCAAGUCGAGUGUGAAAGCCCCCGGCUCAACUGGGGAGGGUCACUCGAUACUGAUCGACUUGAAGGCAGGAGAGGGAAGCGGAAUUCCCGGUGUAGUGGUGAAAUGCGUAGAUAUCGGGAGGAACACCAGUGGCGAAGGCGGCUUCCUGGCCUGUUCUGACACUGAGGAGCGAAAGCGUGGGGAGCGAUCCGG